Antechinus flavipes (yellow-footed antechinus) is the source of this 134-nucleotide small nucleolar RNA. RefSeq annotates it as small nucleolar RNA SNORA41. NCBI's taxonomy places the organism in Eukaryota, Metazoa, Chordata, Mammalia, Dasyuromorphia, Dasyuridae. The transcript has a single exon. The record is from RefSeq and is a predicted model, not a curated record.
UUCCACAGCUACUGGUCUGCAGCUGCUUUCAUCUGUAGCAGUUGUUGUAUUCCACUGUGGAAGAGAAACUGUUACACUGUUAAAUCUCCUCUUUCUAAUACAAAGGAAGUGGGUUCCUUGUGUGACAGACAUUU